AGAAUCAACGCUGGCGGCGUGCCUAACACAUGCAAGUCGAACGCGAAAGUCCCGCAAGGGAUGAGUAGAGUGGCAAACGGGUGAGUAACACGUGGGUGACCUGCCUUCGAGCGGGGGAUAACGUCCCGAAAGGGACGCUAAUACCGCAUGACAUCCUGCCUUUGAAGAGGUGGAGAUCAAAGCUGGGGAUCGCAAGACCUGGCACUUGAAGAGGGGCCCGCGUCUGAUUAGCUAGUUGGUGGGGUAACGGCUCACCAAGGCAACGAUCAGUA
Molecule: ribosomal RNA, 272 nt
Filed under: uncultured bacterium
Lineage: Bacteria
Description: partial small subunit ribosomal RNA
Rfam family: Bacterial small subunit ribosomal RNA
Source: RNAcentral